UGAUGUAAAGGUGAUCCAGCUUCUAAAUCACCCCACCUAUCCCUAGAGCUGGUUUGACUGAUACGGCUUGCUAAGCAGGGGUCUCCUUUUCCUUCUCGCUACUCUAUUUGCUUCCCUCCCAAAGUUGUGUGAUUCGGUUGAAAAAAAGGACCUUCCCUGGGAAUGAGGACCGUUCUGUCACUGGUACAUAAGUAGCUGUACUCCCCUGGAAAAACCUCCUGUCUCCCAACGUUAACUUCAGAUGGCCCCAUAACCAGGAAGCAUAACAAGCAACACAUUUUCACUCUCGUCCCAGCUACAGAUUUGA
This 307-nucleotide small nuclear RNA is filed under the name Microtus ochrogaster (prairie vole). RNAcentral describes it as "7SK RNA (ENSMOCG00000006892.1)". It matches the Rfam family "7SK RNA". Rfam says of the family: 7SK was discovered as an abundant small nuclear RNA in the mid-70s but a possible function has only recently been suggested. Two independent studies have found that 7SK RNA binds the CDK9/cyclin T complex (known as elongation factor P-TEFb). The record is from RNAcentral. Lineage: Eukaryota; Metazoa; Chordata; Mammalia; Rodentia; Cricetidae.